Molecule: long non-coding RNA, 691 nt
Organism: Pogoniulus pusillus (Red-fronted tinkerbird)
Lineage: Eukaryota; Metazoa; Chordata; Aves; Piciformes; Lybiidae
Exons: 2
Source: RefSeq, a predicted model, not a curated record
UCGCGGGGCAUUGCUGGGCGGUGUCUGAGCAGCCAGUGGGAGUGGGGCCGAGCUCUUGCCCCUGGGGUGGUGUAAGCGCCUUUCGGAGCGUCUGCUUGAGGCCAGGAGGGAGCUUCAGGUGUUGUCCAGCGGCGUGCCUUGCCCUGUGAGACCCCUGGCACCACCCGUGCCCUCCCUGUGCUGCAGGCCGGGGAGUCCAUCCAGCCUCUGCAUCAGGCUCCAGCGCGUAGUGCAAAGGCAUUGGCUAGGGCAGAUGAAUUCAAAUCAGAGCCUGGCUUCCUCUGAUCUUGCCUUUCGUGUAAGAACCAAAAGAACCCAAAUGCAGAGUAACUGGACUUUUGCAAAUAGGAGUAGGUUCCUGUGUGUGUAACCAUGUAGGUGAGUGCAUGUAGGCAUCACGAGGACAAUUUAACCCAUCAACUGUUUGCAGCUGCUCCACUUCUAAAUGGAUCUACAGAAUGAGCCUGGCAGCACUUCCACUGAAAGUGGCUCAAAGCUGGCUUUCAGAACUACUCAAGUGCUUCCUUGGAUAUACUUGGAUACACUUUGGUAUGUCAGCUCUCAGGGAGUUAAGGGUGACCUUUGUUAGCUUUCCAGAGCAUCAUUCCCCUCUCCAAAAUGCCUGUUGUUCCAUCAAGAAAAGUCACAAAUUAUUUUAUCUUCAUGAAUUAGACCCCCUUUCCUUAACCAC